Molecule: ribosomal RNA, 484 nt
Filed under: uncultured bacterium
Lineage: Bacteria
Description: partial 16S ribosomal RNA
Rfam family: Bacterial small subunit ribosomal RNA
Source: RNAcentral
AUUGAACGCUGGCGGCAGGCCUAACACAUGCAAGUCGAGCGGAUGAAGGGGGCUUGCUCCUGGAUUCAGCGGCGGACGGGUGAGUAAUGCCUAGGAAUCUGCCUGGUCGUGGGGGAUAACGUCCGGAAACGGGCGCUAAUACCGCAUACGUCCUGAGGGGGAAAGUGGGGGGUCUUCGGACCUCAGGCUAUCAGAUGAGCCUAGGUCGGCUUAGCUAGUUGGUGGGGUAAAGGCCUACCAAGGCGACGAUCCGUAACUGGUGUGAGAGGCUGAUCAGGCACACUGGAACUGAGACACGGUCCAGACUCCUACGGGAGGCAGCAGUGGGGAAUAUUGGACAAUGGGCGAAAGCCUGAUCCAGCCAUGCCGCGUGUGUGAAGAAGGUCUUCGGAUUGUAAAGCACUUUAAGUUGGGAGGAAGGGCAGUAAGUUAAUACCUUGCUGUUUUGACGGUACCAACAGAAUAAGCACCGGCUAACUUCGUG